Molecule: long non-coding RNA, 135 nt
Organism: Etheostoma cragini (Arkansas darter)
Lineage: Eukaryota; Metazoa; Chordata; Actinopteri; Perciformes; Percidae
Exons: 3
Source: RefSeq, a predicted model, not a curated record
UGUAAAGUGUCUUGCCCAGGGACACAUUGGUGGAUGAAUCACAGUGGGAAUUGAACCCAGAUCUUCCACACCAAAGGCAUGUGUUAUGUCCACUACGCCAUCACCACCCACACCCGGGUCCUCACUGGAGAGCUG